Molecule: ribosomal RNA, 928 nt
Filed under: Apiospora rasikravindrae
Lineage: Eukaryota; Fungi; Ascomycota; Sordariomycetes; Amphisphaeriales; Apiosporaceae
Description: eukaryotic LSU rRNA
Rfam family: Eukaryotic large subunit ribosomal RNA
Source: RNAcentral
GUUGACCUCGGAUCAGGUAGGAAUACCCGCUGAACUUAAGCAUAUCAAUAAGCGGAGGAAAAGAAACCAACAGGGAUUCCCCUAGUAACGGCGAGUGAAGCGGGAACAGCUCAAAUUUGAAAUCUGGCCCUUGGGUCCGAGUUGUAAUUUGCAGAGGAUGCUUUUGGUGCGGUGCCUUCCGAGUUCCCUGGAACGGGACGCCUUAGAGGGUGAGAGCCCCGUACGGUUGGCCACCAAGCCUGUGUAAAGCUCCUUCGACGAGUCGAGUAGUUUGGGAAUGCUGCUCAAAAUGGGAGGUAUAUUUCUUCUAAAGCUAAAUACUGGCCAGAGACCGAUAGCGCACAAGUAGAGUGAUCGAAAGAUGAAAAGCACUUUGAAAAGAGGGUUAAAUAGCACGUGAAAUUGUUGAAAGGGAAGGAUUUAUGACCAGACUUUUUCUAGGGGGAUCAUCCGGUGUUCUCACCGGUGCACUUCCCCUAGUUGAGGCCAGCAUCGGUUUCUGUCGGGGGAUAAAAGCUUCAGGAAUGUGGCUCCCUCCGGGGAGUGUUAUAGCCUGUUGCAUAAUACCCUGACGGGGACCGAGGUUCGCGCAUUGCAAGGAUGCUGGCGUAAUGGUUAUUAAUCACCCGUCUUGAAACACGGACCAAGGAGUCGAACAUUUGUGCGAGUGUUUGGGUGUUAAACCCUCACGCGUAAUGAAAGUGAACGGAGGUGAGAGCCCUUCGGGGUGCAUCAUCGACCGAUCCUGAUGUCUUCGGAUGGAUUUGAGUAAGAGCAUAACUGUUCGGACCCGAAAGAUGGUGAACUAUGCGUGGAUAGGGUGAAGCCAGAGGAAACUCUGGUGGAGGCUCGCAGCGGUUCUGACGUGCAAAUCGAUCGUCAAAUCUGCGCAUGGGGGCGAAAGACUAAUCGAACCAUCUAGUAGCUG